This 253-nucleotide ribosomal RNA is filed under the name uncultured bacterium. Its description in RNAcentral is "partial 16S ribosomal RNA". It matches the Rfam family "Bacterial small subunit ribosomal RNA", at positions 524 to 776 of the family's 1533-position model. The record is from RNAcentral.
UACAGAGGGGGCAAGCGUUGUUCGGAAUUACUGGGCGUAAAGGGCGCGUAGGCGGCCUUCUAAGUCGAACGUGAAAUCCCCGGGCUCAACCCGGGAACUGCGUCCGAUACUGGAAGGCUUGAAUCCGGGAGAGGGAUGUGGAAUUCCAGGUGUAGCGGUGAAAUGCGUAGAUAUCUGGAGGAACACCGGUGGCGAAGGCGACAUCCUGGACCGGUAUUAACGCUGAGGCGCGAAAGCCAGGGGAGCAAACGGG